Molecule: ribosomal RNA, 260 nt
Filed under: uncultured archaeon
Lineage: Archaea
Description: partial 16S ribosomal RNA
Rfam family: Archaeal small subunit ribosomal RNA
Source: RNAcentral
CAGCUGUAAACUAUGCGCGUUAGGUGUGUCAGUGACCACGUGUCACUGAGGUGCCGAAGGGAAACCGUGAAACGCACCGCCUGGGGAGUACGGUCGCAAGGCUGAAACUUAAAGGAAUUGGCGGGGGAGCACCACAACGGGUGAGCCUGCGGUUUAAUCGGACUCAACGCCGGGAAUCUCACCGGAUAAGACAGCUGAAUGAUAGUCGGGAUGAAGACUCUACUUGACUAGCUGAGAGGAGGUGCAUGGCGUAGUCGUGU